This 444-nucleotide ribosomal RNA is filed under the name uncultured bacterium. Its description in RNAcentral is "bacterial SSU rRNA". It matches the Rfam family "Bacterial small subunit ribosomal RNA", at positions 338 to 795 of the family's 1533-position model. The record is from RNAcentral.
CCUACGGGGGGCUGCAGUCGAGAAUCUUCGACAAUGGGCGAAAGCCUGAUCGAGCGACGCCGCGUGCGGGAUGAAGUCCUUCGGGAUGUAAACCGCUUUUAUGGGGGAGGAAAUUUUUGACGUUACUCCAUGAAUAAGAGGUUGCUAAACUCGUGCCAGCAGCAGCGGUAAUACGAGUGCCUCAAGCGUUAUCCGGAAUCACUGGGCGUAAAGGGUGUGUAGGCGGCUAUGUUAGUCCGUGGUCAAAUUCUUCGGCUCAACCGGGGGUCCGCCACGGAAACGGCAUAGCUUUGAGGGUGCGAGAGGUGAAUGGAACUCUAAGUGUAGGGGUGAAAUCCGUUGAUAUUUAGGGGAACACCAAAAGCGAAGGCAAUUCACUGGCGCAUUCCUGACGCUGAAACACGAAAGCGUGGGUAGCGAAUGGGAUUAGAUACCCUUGUAGUC